ACGGUAGUAGUUUAAUGGCAGAAUUCACGGUUGUGGUCCGUGAGACGGGAGUUCGAUUCUCCUCUAUCGUC
This 71-nucleotide transfer RNA is filed under the name archaeon. RNAcentral describes it as "tRNA-His". It matches the Rfam family "tRNA". From Rfam's summary of the family: Transfer RNA (tRNA) molecules are approximately 80 nucleotides in length. Their secondary structure includes four short double-helical elements and three loops (D, anti-codon, and T loops). Further hydrogen bonds mediate the characteristic L-shaped molecular structure. tRNAs have two regions of fundamental functional importance: the anti-codon, which is responsible for specific mRNA codon recognition, and the 3' end, to which the tRNAs corresponding amino acid is attached (by aminoacyl-tRNA synthetases). tRNAs cope with the degeneracy of the genetic code in two manners: having more than one tRNA (with a specific anti-codon) for a particular amino acid; and 'wobble' base-pairing, i.e. permitting non-standard base-pairing at the 3rd anti-codon position. The record is from RNAcentral.